RNAcentral lists this ribosomal RNA (62 nucleotides) under Lespedeza cyrtobotrya. RNAcentral's name for it is "partial 26S ribosomal RNA". It matches the Rfam family "Eukaryotic large subunit ribosomal RNA", at positions 1 to 61 of the family's 3401-position model. Lineage: Eukaryota; Viridiplantae; Streptophyta; Magnoliopsida; Fabales; Fabaceae. The record is from RNAcentral.
GAGACCUCAGGACAGGCGGGGCUACCCGCUGAGUUUAAGCAUAUCAAUAAGCGGAGAAAAAG